RNAcentral lists this long non-coding RNA (936 nucleotides) under Volvox carteri. RNAcentral describes it as "long non-coding RNA (VCAR_LNC001557)". The record is from RNAcentral. Lineage: Eukaryota; Viridiplantae; Chlorophyta; Chlorophyceae; Chlamydomonadales; Volvocaceae.
UAAGGUUCAAUCGAUGCGCGGCGAUCUAGGUCGCUUGUUGGCGCAUUUGCGCUUGUUUCAGCUCGUUUAAGAUCUUCCCUAAGACGAUACGCACAUAUGGUUCACACUUACUGCGCAGAUAGGCCAUGGAUCAUCUGACUCAUCGCAAAAACACGAACGAUAAAAAAAUAAAGACGCCUGAAAUUGGGCUCUUUACCAACCCACAUCUUCCGCCUCACCGCCAGCCAACGCGCUCUCAUGCGCGCUGCACAACCCUGCAAAAUCGACGUCUGCAUACAGGUCAAGGUGCUUGAAGGCGGCGUUGCCGCCUUCAUGGAGCAGUUCAAGGAGGACCCAUCGGUGGUCGAGCUUCCAGAUGGUGGCUGGAACCCCGCUCAGAAGCACUAGAGGACGAGUGGUUGAGUGCUCACCGGAUCUCCGCGUGGAACACCGGGGCAGGGCAGGGCAGGGCGCACGACAGUGCAUGGCCGGGCAGCGCAGACUCCCACAGCCUAGGAUGGCAAGUGCUCUAAAGGCAUAUGUGGCUUCCCGCUGUCAGGGCAGACGCCUUGGUCCUGGUCCUGGCUUGGCGUGUUAAGAAACGACUCGAGACCGUCUGACGCGGACUCAUGCUGCUCGGGGCCAGUGGUGCCGCGCAUGUGAUGUGCCUAGAGGCCAGGAGAGGAGAGAGCAACAGCGAGAGAAGGUAUUGCGCUUAGCAAGUAUGGGCAUGUAUGAUGUUUGCUGGCAUGCCCGGCAUGCACAUGCGCACACGCAUGUGCGCAUGCCGGGGGCACACGCAUGUGCGCAUGGCUUCGGAUGCAUCCAGCGUUGCGAAUGUGGCUGAUGAUACUGACCUCUGCCGCCGAAAUGCUGUUCAUGAAAAUCGCACCGAAGUGUGGAGUCCGUGGAAGUGAUCCGUCUUCAACGCUCUUACGCUCUUAGAUUUGAGUCGUC